This 76-nucleotide transfer RNA is filed under the name Flavobacterium johnsoniae. RNAcentral's name for it is "tRNA-Leu". It matches the Rfam family "tRNA". From Rfam's summary of the family: Transfer RNA (tRNA) molecules are approximately 80 nucleotides in length. Lineage: Bacteria; Pseudomonadati; Bacteroidota; Flavobacteriia; Flavobacteriales; Flavobacteriaceae. The record is from RNAcentral.
GCAGGAAUGGCGGAAUGGUAUACGCGACAGAUUUAGGAUCUGUUUUUUGAGAGUUCGAAUUUCUCUUCCUGUACAA